GUUGCAAGAGAGAACUUCUCCUCAAGGGAGAGGUCGCCGAAGGGGCAAGGCGCAAGCCAAAACUCUCAGGCAGCAGGAUUGCGACUG
This 87-nucleotide non-coding RNA is filed under the name uncultured Bilophila sp. RNAcentral describes it as "Glycine riboswitch". It matches the Rfam family "Glycine riboswitch aptamer", at positions 7 to 90 of the family's 94-position model. Rfam says of the family: This family represents the bacterial glycine riboswitch. The record is from RNAcentral. Lineage: Bacteria; Pseudomonadati; Thermodesulfobacteriota; Desulfovibrionia; Desulfovibrionales; Desulfovibrionaceae.